GUCGUUUGAACUUCCGGGGUUGUAUUGGCUAAUGUGUGCAACCCCUCUUUCAGCCCCCAUGGGGGUUUGACUGAUGGGCUGUAACUGUGUUCAUACUGGCCAGCACAAUCCCAGAAGUAGAACAGACGAA
This 130-nucleotide microRNA precursor is filed under the name Lytechinus variegatus (green sea urchin). RNAcentral describes it as "microRNA lva-mir-193 precursor". Its record names the gene lva-mir-193. The record is from miRBase by way of RNAcentral. Lineage: Eukaryota; Metazoa; Echinodermata; Echinoidea; Temnopleuroida; Toxopneustidae.